This 225-nucleotide ribosomal RNA is filed under the name uncultured Pseudomonas sp. RNAcentral's name for it is "partial 16S ribosomal RNA". It matches the Rfam family "Bacterial small subunit ribosomal RNA", at positions 568 to 792 of the family's 1533-position model. The record is from RNAcentral. Lineage: Bacteria; Pseudomonadati; Pseudomonadota; Gammaproteobacteria; Pseudomonadales; Pseudomonadaceae.
CGCGUAGGUGGUUUGUUAAGUUGGAUUAGAUACCCCCGGGCUCAACCUGGGAACUGCAUUCAAAACUGACGAGCUAGAGUAUGGUAGAGGGUGGUGGAAUUUCCUGUGUAGCGGUGAAAUGCGUAGAUAUAGGAAGGAACACCAGUGGCGAAGGCGACCACCUGGACUGAUACUGACACUGAGGUGCGAAAGCGUGGGGAGCAAACAGGAUUAGAUACCCUCGUA